RNAcentral lists this ribosomal RNA (273 nucleotides) under uncultured bacterium. Its description in RNAcentral is "partial 16S ribosomal RNA". It matches the Rfam family "Bacterial small subunit ribosomal RNA", at positions 524 to 796 of the family's 1533-position model. The record is from RNAcentral.
UACGUAGGGGGCAAGCGUUGUUCGGAAUUACUGGGCGUAAAGGGCGCGUAGGCGGCACGGCAAGUCGGGAGUGAAAGCCCGGGGCUCAACCCCGGAACGGCUUUCGAAACUGCCGAGCUAGAGUGCGGAAGGGGCAACCGGAAUUCCCAGUGUAGCGGUGAAAUGCGUAGAUAUUGGGAAGAACACCUGAGGCGAAGGCGGGUUGCUGGGCCGACACUGACGCUGAGGCGCGAAAGCCAGGGGAGCAAACGGGAUUAGAUACCCCCGUAGUCC